AGUCCCGUGGUGGAGUACACAUCAGAUUGCAAACCUGAAGACGUAGGCUGACAGCCUACCGGGACUU
This 67-nucleotide transfer RNA is filed under the name Gonorynchus greyi (beaked salmon). RNAcentral describes it as "tRNA-Cys". It matches the Rfam family "tRNA". Rfam says of the family: Transfer RNA (tRNA) molecules are approximately 80 nucleotides in length. Lineage: Eukaryota; Metazoa; Chordata; Actinopteri; Gonorynchiformes; Gonorynchidae. The record is from RNAcentral.